UCUUCCUACGGGAGGCAGCAGUGGGGAAUAUUGCACAAUGGGGGAAACCCUGAUGCAGCAACGCCGCGUGAGUGAAGAAGUAUUUCGGUAUGUAAAGCUCUAUCAGCAGGGAAGAAAAUGACGGUACCUGAGUAAGAAGCCCCGGCUAACUACGUGCCAGCAGCCGCGGUAAUACGUAGGGGGCAAGCGUUAUCCGGAUUUACUGGGUGUAAAGGGAGCGUAGACGGCGAUGCAAGUCUGAAGUGAAAGCCCGGGGCUCAACCCCGGGACUGCUUUGGAACUGGUUGGCCUGGGUA
RNAcentral lists this ribosomal RNA (296 nucleotides) under uncultured bacterium. RNAcentral's name for it is "partial 16S ribosomal RNA". It matches the Rfam family "Bacterial small subunit ribosomal RNA", at positions 334 to 648 of the family's 1533-position model. The record is from RNAcentral.